GAUGAACGCUAUCUACAGGCUUAACACAUGCGAGUCGAGGGGCAGCAUGGUCUUAGCUUGCUAAGGCCGAUGGCGACCGGCGCACGGGUGAGUAACGCGUAUCCAACCUGCCUUACACUCUUGGACAGCCUUCUGAAAGGGAGAUUAAUACAAGAUGUUAUCAUGAGUAAGCAUUUUCGCAUGAUUAAAGGUUUACCGGUGUAAGAUGGGGAUGCGUUCCAUUAGAUAGUAGGCGGGGUAACGGCCCACCUAGUCUUCGAUGGAUAGGGGUUCUGAGAGGAAGGUCCCCCACAUUGGAACUGAGACACGGUCCAAACUCCUACGGGAGGCAGCAGUGAGGAAUAUUGGUCAAUGGACGAGAGUCUGAACCAGCCAAGUAGCGUGAAGGAUGAAGGUUCUAUGGAUUGUAAACUUCUUUUAUACGGGAAUAAACGAAUCCACGUGUGGAUUUUUGCAUGUACCGUAUGAAUAAGGAUCGGCUAACUCCGUGCCAGCAGCCGCGGUAAUACGGAGGAUCCGAGCGUUAUCCGGAUUUAUUGGGUUUAAAGGGAGCGUAGAUGGGUUGUUAAGUCAGUUGUGAAAGUUUGCGGCUCAACCGUAAAAUUGCAAUUGAUACUGGCAGUCUUGAGUACAGUUGAGGUAGGCGGAAUUCGUGGUGUAGCGGUGAAAUGCUUAGAUAUCACGAAGAACUCCGAUUGCGAAGGCAGCUUACUAACCUGUAACUGACAUUGAUGCUCGAAAGUGUGGGUAUCAAACAGGAUUAGAUACCCUGGUAGUCCACACGGUAAACGAUGAAUACUCGCUGUAGGCGAUAUACAGUCUGCGGCCAAGCGAAAGCAUUAAGUAUUCCACCUGGGGAGUACGCCGGCAACGGUGAAACUCAAAGGAAUUGACGGGGGCCCGCACAAGCGGAGGAACAUGUGGUUUAAUUCGAUGAUACGCGGGGAACCUUACCCGGGCUUAAAUUGCAACCGAAUAUGGCGGAAACGCUAUAGCUAGCAAUAGCGGUUGUGAAGGUGCUGCAUGGUUGUCGUCAGCUCGUGCCGUGAGGUGUCGGCUUAAGUGCCAUAACGAGCGCAACCCUUGCCGAUAGUUACUAACAGGUCAUGCUGAGGACUCUGUCGGGACUGCCAUCGUAAGAUGUGAGGAAGGUGGGGAUGACGUCAAAUCAGCACGGCCCUUACGUCCGGGGCUACACACGUGUUACAAUGGGGGGUACAGAGGGCUGCUACCACGCAAGUGGAUGCCAAUCCCAAAAACCUCUCUCAGUUCGGAUUGAAGUCUGCAACCCGACUUCAUGAAGCUGGAUUCGCUAGUAAUCGCGCAUCAGCCACGGCGCGGUGAAUACGUUCCCGGGCCUUGUACACACCGCCCGUCAAGCCAUGGGAGCCGGGGGUACCUGAAGUGCGUAACCGCAAGGAGCGCCCUAGGGUAAAACUGGUGACUGGGGCUAA
Molecule: ribosomal RNA, 1454 nt
Filed under: uncultured organism
Description: 16S ribosomal RNA
Rfam family: Bacterial small subunit ribosomal RNA
Source: RNAcentral